UACGUAGGGUGCAAGCGUUAAUCGGAAUUACUGGGCGUAAAGAGUGCGCAGGCGGCUCUUUAAGACAGGUGUGAAAUCCCCGAGCUCAACUUGGGAAUUGCGCUUGUGACUGGAGAGCUAGAGUGCGGAAGAGGGGGAUAGAAUUCCUGGUGUAGCAGUGAAAUGCGUAGAUAUCAGGAGGAAUACCGAUGGCGAAGGCAGUCCCCUGGGCCAGCACUGACGCUCAUGCACGAAAGCGUGGGGAGCAAACAGG
Molecule: ribosomal RNA, 253 nt
Filed under: uncultured bacterium
Lineage: Bacteria
Description: partial 16S ribosomal RNA
Rfam family: Bacterial small subunit ribosomal RNA
Source: RNAcentral